UUGAUAUUUAACCGAGUCCAUAUCAAUUGUUGCGAGAAGACCGUUGUAUUUCCUAAACCGGAGGAGAGUUUACAUUUGAUGAGUAAGAAGGAAGUAGUAGAGUCGUUGAAGGAACCUGUAGAGGUGUAUGCAUUGUUUGCAUCCUUGAAGAUGGAAGGUGAAGUUAAGGUGGAAGAGUUACCGGUUGCUUGUGAAUUUCCCGAUGUAUUUCCGGAAGACGUGUCAGAUGUACCGCCGAAGAGAGAAGUAGA
This 251-nucleotide long non-coding RNA is filed under the name Trifolium pratense (red clover). Its description in RNAcentral is "long non-coding RNA (TPRA_LNC006445)". Lineage: Eukaryota; Viridiplantae; Streptophyta; Magnoliopsida; Fabales; Fabaceae. The record is from RNAcentral.